UACAGAGGGGGCAAGCGUUGUUCGGAAUUACUGGGCGUAAAGGGCGCGUAGGCGGCCUUCUAAGUCGAACGUGAAAUCCCCGGGCUCAACCCGGGAACUGCGUCCGAUACUGGGAGGCUUGAAUCCGGGAGAGGGAUGUGGAAUUCCAGGUGUAGCGGUGAAAUGCGCAGAUAUCAGGAGGAACACCGGUGGCGAAGGCGGGUCUCUGGGCCGAUACUGACGCUGAGGAGCGAAAGCGUGGGGAGCGAACAGG
RNAcentral lists this ribosomal RNA (253 nucleotides) under uncultured bacterium. RNAcentral's name for it is "partial 16S ribosomal RNA". It matches the Rfam family "Bacterial small subunit ribosomal RNA", at positions 524 to 776 of the family's 1533-position model. The record is from RNAcentral.